Long non-coding RNA from Cannabis sativa, 998 nucleotides. RefSeq lists it as uncharacterized. NCBI's taxonomy places the organism in Eukaryota, Viridiplantae, Streptophyta, Magnoliopsida, Rosales, Cannabaceae. The transcript is spliced from 2 exons. The record is from RefSeq and is a predicted model, not a curated record.
UGUUCAAUCUUCUUGCUUCCCCGAGCUCUGAUACCACUGUGGGAAAUAGCUGUCAUUCCCGAGAUGCCUAAACUACCCCCACUCCAACACCCCAACGUUCAUAAAGGUAAGGGCAAAUCUGACUUUUUACUCUGGUGCGGAUCCAAAGGGAAUAUGCCUUCCCAAAACCGAAUAUGCCCCUUUGAAUAUCAGAUUUUAUCUUUUUAAAAAAUCUGAUGCCUUUAUUUAAUAUAAAAGCUUUAUUUUCUUCUCCUAGAAAACCCUAGCACAUUUAUUUCCUUCUUCAAACAAGUGCAGCCGCCCAACUCCUCUUCUCUCCUUCUUCUCUUUUCUUUGAACAGCAAGCAAAAACCCUAGCAAGCUUCUUCACCUCCUUCUUCUCUCUUGCUGCAAAACGCAGCAGCUCAUCAAUGGCAGAAAACACUGCUGCGUUUUCUUUCUUCUUCCUCUUUUUCCUUGCUGCAGCAACCCUAGCCGAACCUCUUUCUUUGCUACAACAAAAAUCCCAGCCGAAACCCUUGUUGUUCUUUUCCUCCUACUAGCUUCAAAAACCUGCAGAAAAGAAGAACAACACAACCAGAAAAAUACCAACUAAAACCAGAAAACCAGCAACGAAACACAAGAGUAAAAACACCACAACAAUUGAUUUCGGAGUUCCCUCUAAAUCAGAGGUACGUCUCCGUCAAGCGACCCUCAAAGUUGCUUGAAUCUCUAUUAUGAAUGUCAAAGGCUGAUUACAAGUUAUGGAGAUUCCAUGCUACAAAAGCCACCAGGUUGAUUACAAAGGAAACACAAGGCUACUGCCUUUAUUUUUUCUGCUGGGCCGAAAUGGUUCUCUACCUCAAAGUGGAAGGUUACCACUUAUUUAUAAUGUUGUUGAUGUUGUUGUUGUGUUUGUUUCUGAUCUGAGAAAGUUUGUUGUAAUCUGUUGAGAUAUUUUCCUUGUAAUGCUGAAAGUUGUUAGAGUCUUGAGAUAUUUAUUUGCUUCCUUUUAUAUU